Molecule: ribosomal RNA, 383 nt
Filed under: uncultured bacterium
Lineage: Bacteria
Description: bacterial SSU rRNA
Rfam family: Bacterial small subunit ribosomal RNA
Source: RNAcentral
GACGAACGUUGGCGGCGUGCUUAAUACAUGCAAGUCAACUGAAGCACCGGUAGCAAUACUGGUGUGGAGGUGGCGCACGGGUGAGUAACACGUAGGUAAUCUGCCUUCAGGUCUGACAUAACUCCGGGAAACCGAAGCUAAUAUCAGAUGAUGCAGCGGCUUGACAUCAAGACAGUUGUUAAAGCUUCGGCGCCUGAAGAUGAGCCUGCGCUGAUUAGCUAGUUGGCGGGGUAACGGCCCACCAAGGCAACGAUCAGUAGCUGGUCUGAGAGGAUGAUCAGCCACACUGGAACUGAGACACGGUCCAGACUCCUACGGGAGGCAGCAGUAAGGAAUAUUGCUCAAUGGGAGAAAUACCUGAAGCAGCAACGCCGCGUGAGGGA